This 350-nucleotide ribosomal RNA is filed under the name Vreelandella arcis. RNAcentral's name for it is "bacterial LSU rRNA". It matches the Rfam family "Bacterial large subunit ribosomal RNA", at positions 2582 to 2925 of the family's 2925-position model. The record is from RNAcentral. Lineage: Bacteria; Pseudomonadati; Pseudomonadota; Gammaproteobacteria; Oceanospirillales; Halomonadaceae.
CGCCAUUUAAAGUGGUACGCGAGCUGGGUUUAGAACGUCGUGAGACAGUUCGGUCCCUAUCUGCCGUGGGCGUUGGAUGUUUGAGAAGGGCUGCUCCUAGUACGAGAGGACCGGAGUGGACGCACCUCUGGUGUUCCGGUUGUCACGCCAGUGGCAUUGCCGGGUAGCUAUGUGCGGACGGGAUAACCGCUGAAAGCAUCUAAGCGGGAAGCCCCCUUCAAGAUGAGACAUCCCUGAGGCCUAGAGCCUCCUGAAGGGCCCAGCGAGACCAGCUGGUUGAUAGGCACGGUGUGGAAGCGCUGCAAGGUGUUGAGCUAACGUGUACUAAUGGCCCGUGAGGCUUGACCCUA